Molecule: ribosomal RNA, 469 nt
Filed under: uncultured bacterium
Lineage: Bacteria
Description: partial 16S ribosomal RNA
Rfam family: Bacterial small subunit ribosomal RNA
Source: RNAcentral
GACGAACGCUGGCGGCGUGCUUAACACAUGCAAGUCGAACGGAAAGGCCCUGCUUGCAGGGUGCUCGAGUGGCGAACGGGUGAGUAACACGUGGGUGAUCUGCCCCUUACUUUGGGAUAAGCCUGGGAAACUGGGUCUAAUACUGGAUAGGACCAUGCUGUAGGUGGUGUGGUGGAAAGAUUAGUUUCGGUAAGGGAUGAGCUCGCGGCCUAUCAGCUUGUUGGUGGGGUAAUGGCCUACCAAGGCGUCGACGGGUAGCCGGCCUGAGAGGGUGGACGGCCACAUUGGGACUGAGAUACGGCCCAGACUCCUACGGGAGGCAGCAGUGGGGAAUAUUGCACAAUGGGCGCAAGCCUGAUGCAGCGACGCCGCGUGGGGGAUGACGGCCUUCGGGUUGUAGACUCCUUUCAGCCAUGACGAAGCCCUUGUGGUGACGGUAGUGGUAGAAGAAGCACCGGCUAACUACGUG